This 496-nucleotide ribosomal RNA is filed under the name uncultured bacterium. Its description in RNAcentral is "partial 16S ribosomal RNA". It matches the Rfam family "Bacterial small subunit ribosomal RNA", at positions 28 to 507 of the family's 1533-position model. The record is from RNAcentral.
GAUGAACGCUGGCGGCGUGCCUAAUACAUGCAAGUCGAGCGAACGGACGAGAAGCUUGCUUUUCUGAUGUUAGCGGCGGACGGGUGAGUAACACGUGGAUAACCUACCUAUAAGACUGGGAUAACUUCGGGAAACCGGAGCUAAUACCGGAUAAUAUUUUGAACCGCAUGGUUCAAAAGUGAAAGACGGUCUUGCUGUCACUUAUAGAUGGAUCCGCGCUGCAUUAGCUAGUUGGUAAGGUAACGGCUUACCAAGGCAACGAUGCAUAGCCGACCUGAGAGGGUGAUCGGCCACACUGGACUGAGACACGGUCCAGACUCCUACGGGAGGCAGCAGUAGGGAAUCUUCCGCAAAGGGCGAAAGCCUGACGGAGCAACGCCGCGUGAGUGAUGAAGGUCUUCGGAUCGUAAAACUCUGUUAUUAGGGAAGAACAUAUGUGUAAGUAACUGUGCACAUCUUGACGGUACCUAAUCAGAAAGCCACGGCUAACUACGUG